GGGAUAACAUUUGGAAACAAGUGCUAAUACCGUAUAAUACCAACAACCGCAUGGUUGUUGGUUGAAAGAUGGUUCUGCUAUCACUAAGAGAUGGACCCGCGGUGCAUUAGCUAGUUGGUAAGGUAACGGCUUACCAAGGCAAUGAUGCAUAGCCGAGUUGAGAGACUGAUCGGCCACAAUGGGACUGAGACACGGCCCAUACUCCUACGGGAGGCAGCAGUAGGGAAUCUUCCACAAUGGGCGCAAGCCUGAUGGAGCAACGCCGCGUGUGUGAUGAAGGGUUUCGGCUCGUAAAACACUGUUAUAAGAGAAGAACGGCACUGAGAGUAACUGUUCAGUGUGUGACGGUAUCUUACCAGAAAGGAACGGCUAAAUACGUGCCAGCAGCCGCGGUAAUACGUAUGUUCCAAGCGUUAUCCGGAUUUAUUGGGCGUAAAGCGAGCGCAGACGGUUAUUUAAGUCUGAAGUGAAAGCCCUCAGCUCAACUGAGGAAUGGCUUUGGAAACUGGAUGACUUGAGUGCAGUAGAGGAAAGUGGAACUCCAUGUGUAGCGGUGAAAUGCGUAGAUAUAUGGAAGAACACCAGUGGCGAAGGCGGCUUUCUGGACUGUAACUGACGUUGAGGCUCGAAAGUGUGGGUAGCAAACAGGAUUAGAUACCCUGGUAGUCCACACCGUAAACGAUGAGUGCUAGAUGUUUCGAGGGUUUCCGCCCUUGAGUGUCG
RNAcentral lists this ribosomal RNA (723 nucleotides) under uncultured bacterium. Its description in RNAcentral is "bacterial SSU rRNA". It matches the Rfam family "Bacterial small subunit ribosomal RNA", at positions 140 to 848 of the family's 1533-position model. The record is from RNAcentral.